RNAcentral lists this non-coding RNA (82 nucleotides) under unclassified sequences. Its description in RNAcentral is "Xanthine-I sequence". It matches the Rfam family "Xanthine riboswitch aptamer (NMT1 RNA)". From Rfam's summary of the family: Later it was reported as a ncRNA that recognised Xanthine. The record is from Rfam by way of RNAcentral.
CUCCUGGGUAGAAGCAGUCAGUGUCCGCCACCUUAUAUUAAGAAGGUGAAGCAGUAAGCGGAUUCGGGUCAUUGCUCACGGA